This 432-nucleotide long non-coding RNA is filed under the name Elaeis guineensis (African oil palm). RNAcentral's name for it is "long non-coding RNA (EGUI_LNC027138)". The record is from RNAcentral. Lineage: Eukaryota; Viridiplantae; Streptophyta; Magnoliopsida; Arecales; Arecaceae.
GGGGUAAGGGAACAGGGUUGGUAAGCUUACGCUGGGCCAAAACUCUGCUACUGUUUACAUUCAACUUCUGUUCACCAACUUUUCUCUCUGACUUAAGUAUCAGAGGGUCCCCGUCAGACAUAAAUUCCAUCUGUGCGGACACUAUUUUGCAGAUGUUCAUUCCCGACGAUAGGCGACGGGGAGUUGGCUGCAACAAGAUGAGGUCUUCCAUUAUGGUAUCUUUGUACACCCUGGAUCCCUAUCCCCAUGAGUAAGGAUGUCAGUCCCCAUGAGUAAGGAUGUCAAUGGGUACCCUAUCCGAUGGGUAUCCAUCCCUACCCAUCGGAUAGGGUCGAAAUUUUUUUUGUUUUUUAAAAAAUCCCAACAUGGGUUGGAUUAGAGUCUGGGUUUUGAAAAUCUACUACGAAUAGGGUCGGAUUAUGAAUUUACCCC